GGUCCCUAAAUGAGCUGAUUCUCAUCAAAGCCGAGAAGCAUAGUCAGGUGUGGUGGCUCACGCCUGUAAUCCCAGCACAUUCAGAGGCCAAGGUGGACGAGCCACUUGAGGCCAGGAGUUCGAGGCCAGCCUGGCCAACAUGGAGAAACCUUGUCUCUAAAAAAUAAAAGAAUAAAGAAGCAGCAGAACUUUGUAGAGUCCCUCCAGGAAGCAGUGCCACGAGGCCUUGGGGCUGCUUACUACAACUGAAGGAAGUGUAAGCGACCGCCUCUCUGAGACAGCCAGAGAGGAAGUCUCAUUAGGUUGCCCAGACUGAUCUUGAAUCCCUGGACUCCAGCAAUCCACCUGCCUCGGCCUCCCAAAGUGCUUGGAUUAUGCGUGUGAGCCGUUGCACCUGCCACAUACCUGAAUUCUUUAUUGAGUGGAAAAUAUGGCUGACCACAACGCCCAGAUUUUAUAGACAGUAGUUCCACUGCCUUUGGGAAUCCAGUUCUUGUUCCCAAUUUCAGGUAUUAAUAUCCUAGGGAAUUCUCUGAUGUGCUUUUGGGUUUACCGGCCUCCCAUGGACCAUUCAUGUGUAGGAGGCAUGAAGGCCAGGGCACGUGAAAGCAUGCCUGCCGCCCUGGACACUGUUCAGCAGGUCCCAGAAGGAGCCUAUGUUUACAGAGUAAGAGGAGAGGCUGACCAGCAAACAGAAGGGUCUGAUUCAUCCCCAAAUCACGAGACGAGCAAGGAACAAGGGGGCUGGUUUGCCUGGAAUAGAGUGAACAAGAUAAAUGCAUGAGAGAUGAAGUCAGGAAGACCAUGGAGGCCACAAGCAUGAGGCCCGUGGGCCAUUCUGACACUGAGGUCUACUCCACAUGAGAAAUGAAGGAAAAUCAAGACACUAGCAGAGGGUGCAGAACUAAGUGAAUCUGUUGUCAGCAAAGGUGUCCCAAAAGAACGACUAAUGGAAGUUAUCUUAACAGAAAGUGAUAACAGAAGAGAUCUUGGAAUAUCAGAGACAAAGAAAGAACAAUGGAAAGAAGAAAAAAUGGGUAUGUAUAAUAGGCUUUCGUUCUCCUCAGUUUUCUAAAUUAUAUUCGAGAUAUGAAGCAAAAAUUAUAACACUGACAUGGUUCUCACCGCAUGUAGAGGAAAUAUUUAAGAUAAUCAUGUAUGAAUGUGGGAGGGUAAAGGACAUGAAGAACAUGAAGGGAAGUAAGGAUGACUUGAAUGGGUAAAACCAGUAGACUGUGGCAAGUUAUAUG
Molecule: long non-coding RNA, 1250 nt
Organism: Homo sapiens (human)
Lineage: Eukaryota; Metazoa; Chordata; Mammalia; Primates; Hominidae
Exons: 4
Source: RefSeq, a predicted model, not a curated record